UCUACCUGCCUUUCAGGCAUCCUCUCCCAAGACUUUUCCAGCCCGGUUGGUUCGCCAGCCGGGCUUUUUUUCUUGCGCC
This 79-nucleotide small RNA is filed under the name Erythrobacter sp. SD-21. Its description in RNAcentral is "Makes More Granules Regulator RNA (mmgR)". It matches the Rfam family "Makes More Granules Regulator RNA (mmgR)". Rfam says of the family: SuhB later renamed mmgR (makes more granules regulator) was a putative non-coding RNA found multiple times in the Agrobacterium tumefaciens genome and related alpha-proteobacteria. Other non-coding RNAs uncovered in the same analysis include: speF, ybhL, metA, and serC. Lineage: Bacteria; Pseudomonadati; Pseudomonadota; Alphaproteobacteria; Sphingomonadales; Erythrobacteraceae. The record is from Rfam by way of RNAcentral.